Long non-coding RNA from Gambusia affinis (western mosquitofish), 672 nucleotides. RefSeq lists it as uncharacterized. The transcript has 3 exons. Lineage: Eukaryota; Metazoa; Chordata; Actinopteri; Cyprinodontiformes; Poeciliidae. The record is from RefSeq and is a predicted model, not a curated record.
ACGAAGAAAACCUUUUCAAAGUGGUUGAAAGACGAUAGGGGUGGGCCCGGGGGCGCCAAUGACAUGUUCGCAUACACCUCAGAAAGUAUGUAGUUGCGCCCCUGCUUGAGGAUGAAUCGCCAGUCGUCAGCAUCAGUCUCUCACCCUCCCUCACUCCUCCGUAGCUUCUACCAAGAUUCAAGGUCCAAACAUGGCUGUAGACCGACACUGGCUAUCUUACUUGGAGACUCAAGCUUGUCCAACGCAUGAGGAGCAUGUUGAUGUCCCCGGACAAACUUCACGGACAGUGAGUGGACAGCUCUUUGGGGGAGUGCAGACAGGCCCUGUCUCUUAUUAGUCAUUCAGCAGAAACAUAAACUUUGUAAAAAAUGAUGGCACUGAAUACUAGGUUGGCCUAUUCUGUACUGUAAUAUCCAGGAAUCUACCUGUGUUAAACAAAAAUUUACUACAUUUUAUUACAUGAACUGCAUGCAAUACUUUCGCCGCCUUGUACUUUGAACAAUUCAAUACAUGUUGUAUUGAAGAAAAAUGUGUUAAGCAUACUGUUGUUUGUAUUGCGCAGCUUAUGUAUGUCCAAUCUUUUGAUUAGCUAUCUUUGAAUGAAAGUGACAUGUGAAACAUGAAAGUGUAAGUUUUUCCACGUUGAAAAAAUGUUUUCUUAUAUGGCGCAUG